This 464-nucleotide ribosomal RNA is filed under the name Capnocytophaga gingivalis. RNAcentral describes it as "bacterial SSU rRNA". It matches the Rfam family "Bacterial small subunit ribosomal RNA", at positions 28 to 492 of the family's 1533-position model. Lineage: Bacteria; Pseudomonadati; Bacteroidota; Flavobacteriia; Flavobacteriales; Flavobacteriaceae. The record is from RNAcentral.
GAUGAACGCUAGCGGCAGGCCUAACACAUGCAAGUCGAGGGAGAAGCCCUUCGGGGCAGAAACCGGCGCACGGGUGCGUAACGCGUAUGCAACCUACCUUUCACAGGGGGAUAGCCCGAAGAAAUUUGGAUUAAUACCCCAUAACAUUGUUGGAUGGCAUCAUCUGAUAAUUAAAACUGCGGUGGUGAAAGAUGGGCAUGCGUCCUAUUAGCUAGUUGGAGUGGUAACGGCACCCCAAGGCUACGAUAGGUAGGGGUCCUGAGAGGGAGAUCCCCCACACUGGUACUGAGACAGGGACCAGACUCCUACGGGAGGCAGCAGUGAGGAAUAUUGGUCAAUGGUCGGAAGACUGAACCAGCCAUGCCGCGUGCAGGAAGAAUGCCUUAUGGGUUGUAAACUGUUUUUAUAUGGGAAGAAUAAGGUGUAACGUGUACCAUUGAUGAACGGUACCAUAUGAAUAAAGC